Molecule: ribosomal RNA, 454 nt
Filed under: uncultured bacterium
Lineage: Bacteria
Description: partial 16S ribosomal RNA
Rfam family: Bacterial small subunit ribosomal RNA
Source: RNAcentral
GAUGAACGCUGACAGAAUGCUUAACACAUGCAAGUCUACUUGAACUUCGGUUUGGGUGGCGGUCGGGUGAGUAACGCGUAAAGAACUUGCCUCACAGUUAGGGACAACAUUUGGAAACGAAUGCUAAUACCUGAUAUUAUGAUUUUAGGGCAUCCUAGGAUUAUGAAAGCUAUAUGUGCUGUGAGAGAGCUUUGCGUCCCAUUAGCUAGUUGGAGAGGUAACGGCUCACCAAGGCGAUGAUGGGUAGCCGGCCUGAGAGGGUGAACGGCCACACGGGGACUGAGACACGGCCCGUACGCAUACGGGAGGCAGCAGUGGGGAAUAUUGGAAAAUAGACCAAAAGUCUGAUCAAGCAAUUCUGUGUGCACGAUGCCGUUUUUCGGAAUGAAAAGUGGUUUAAGUUGGGAAGAAAAAAAUGACGGUACCAACAGAAGAAGUGACGGCUAAAUACGUG